GCUGCUCAAAUAUGAUACCUCUCCGUGGCGGGUGGCAGACAACGAGAGUUCUCUCUCGGCUAAAGCAUAU
RNAcentral lists this ribozyme (70 nucleotides) under unclassified sequences. RNAcentral describes it as "HDV ribozyme from F. prausnitzii". It matches the Rfam family "HDV ribozyme from F. prausnitzii". The record is from RNAcentral.